Rhipicephalus sanguineus (brown dog tick) is the source of this 762-nucleotide long non-coding RNA. RefSeq lists it as uncharacterized. The record is from RefSeq and is a predicted model, not a curated record. The transcript is spliced from 4 exons. Lineage: Eukaryota; Metazoa; Arthropoda; Arachnida; Ixodida; Ixodidae.
CUGCAUUUCGUGCGUGCGUCGUAGUGUCGAGUUUUGUUCACGCUGUCGACCUUUACUGCGUUACCUCGCAUUGUGUGUUGUGUGUUGCGGUUACUGACGUAAGCGCAAGUUCUUCACUGAGUAUGAUGCGCGGCAGCGUGCAAAUAGUCACCAGAUGCCGGCCGUGCGACUCCGUUCUCUGCGACUCCUUUGUUCGGUGUGAUCGAGGGACGUGAUUCAUGCUUUGGAGACCCUCUUUAGACCGUGCCCUCAUCAAAUGUUUCCACACAUCAGUGAGUAGCAGCACCGCAAUCCUUACUCGACGACACGCUCUGUGGGCCUGGAAAAUGCCUUGACGUUCGAGCACUUCGGGAGCUAUACCGGCGGACAGCCGGACGCGGGUAGCUUGGCCGUUCCUUGCUCUGCACAUCGCUUGAAAACCGGCGGUCAUCCUGCAGCGUACGCUGCCAGCGUGCUUUCUUGCCAGAGCCGCCUCCCCUGCUGGUGAUGACCAUAUGCAGCCAAUGCUGAUGUGAACCUGAGUGAUGAACAAAUGCAGAUCUGCAAAGGAGCUGUCCUGAAGCACCAUGCUUACUCAAGUCAUGCAGCGAGAGUCAGCAUGCCUGGAAAAGUACUUCAAAGCACACCCAAUCUGGCUGACUGCACUACCUCAAGAAAACUGCCUUUCUACCAUCUGCAAGUUCCUAAGAAGGUACUUUAUGAAGCAAGCCAGCAGGGCGUACGUGUUAGGCAUGGCAGCACGGAGAACAAAUAAACGAGUAU